UACAGAGGAUGCAAGCGUUACCCGGAUUUAUUGGGUUUAAAGGGUGCGUAGGCGGCUUAUUAAGUCAGGGGUGAAAGACGGUGGCUCAACCAUCGCAGUGCCUUUGAUACUGAUGAGCUUGAAUGAACUAGAGGUAGGCGGAAUGUGACAGGUAGCGGUGAAAUGCAUAGAUAUGUCACAGAACACCGAUUGCGAAGGCAGCUUACUGUGGUUUUAUUGACGCUGAGGCACGAAAGCAUGGGGAGCGAACAGG
RNAcentral lists this ribosomal RNA (253 nucleotides) under uncultured bacterium. Its description in RNAcentral is "partial 16S ribosomal RNA". It matches the Rfam family "Bacterial small subunit ribosomal RNA", at positions 524 to 776 of the family's 1533-position model. The record is from RNAcentral.